GCAAGUGAGUGCGUCACAACAGGUAUGUAUGGGUUUGGUAUAAAUUACUGGCUUUUACCAAUGACGUCUGAUUGUCCAGAGACAGCAAACAAGGCCGUGGUCCUGCCACAAGCUGACAUGUGUUGUGGACAUGUUGUCAAGUCUGCAAUGCACGCACACUUGCUAGGCAUAGGAGUGAAAAUUGGGCUUCCAUAAAGUUGAUGCAAACUUUAAUACAUUCAACAAUAUUGUGCAAGAUGGCAAGGAACAAACAUUGAUGGCUGUGACUGGUGUGAGCUAGCUAGCUACAGUGAUAUUUAAAUGUACCACAGAAGAACCAAGAAAUGAAAAGCAACGCCAUGGCUGACUUUUUUUGAGCUUUUAUGUAGAUCUGCAAUUAUAUUAUGAAAAGAGAAGACCGGAAGAUCAUCAGUCUCCAAUGCACCAUCUGACAAGUUGUUCUAUAGAGGAGCGAGAGGAAAGCAGUGUCGGCGGGAACCCCUCCAACCAUAUCAGGAGUAGAAGGCUGCGGCAGACCUUGGCAAGGCAACAGACACAUUUCAGAUGGAGGACGGGAGAGAUGGUUUGUCAUGGAGUCCCCUGACUGACUAACCGACAGGUUGAUACAGAUGGAGUCCCCUGACUGACUAACAGACAGGUUGAUACAGAUGGAGUCCCCUGACUGACUAACAGACAGGUUGAUACAGAUGGAGUCCCCUGACUAACAGACAGAUUGAUACAGAUGGAGUCCCCUGACUAACAGACAGAUUGAUACAGAUGGAGUCCCCUGACUAACAGACAGAUUGAUACAGAUGGAGUCCCCUGACUGACUAACAGACAGGUUGAUACAGAUGGAGUCCCCUGACUAACAGACAGGUUGAUACAGAUGGAGUCUACUGACUAACAGACAGGUUGAUACAGAUGGAGUCUACUGACUAACAGACAGGUUGAUACAGAUGGAGUCUACUGACUAACAGACAGGUUGAUACAGGAUACAUGGUUUGUCAUGGAGUCCCCUGAAACAGAUGUCUGAACUAGAGACCUUGCUCUCAGCAUUACAAUGAUACUAGUACUUGUCAUCAUCUUCUGUUAUUAUUG
Long non-coding RNA from Oncorhynchus tshawytscha (Chinook salmon), 1077 nucleotides. The record is from Ensembl. NCBI's taxonomy places the organism in Eukaryota, Metazoa, Chordata, Actinopteri, Salmoniformes, Salmonidae.